AAAGGAAAGAAAAAAUUAUUUCUUAAAUAAAAAGCACUUAGUACCUGGGAAAAUCAGAAGAAAAU
This 65-nucleotide transfer RNA is filed under the name Bigelowiella natans. The record is from RNAcentral. Lineage: Eukaryota; Cercozoa; Chlorarachniophyceae.